This 240-nucleotide ribosomal RNA is filed under the name uncultured Actinomycetales bacterium. RNAcentral describes it as "partial 16S ribosomal RNA". It matches the Rfam family "Bacterial small subunit ribosomal RNA", at positions 92 to 334 of the family's 1533-position model. Lineage: Bacteria; Bacillati; Actinomycetota; Actinomycetes; Actinomycetales. The record is from RNAcentral.
CGAGUGGCGAACAGGUGAGUAACACGUGGGUAAUCUGCCCUGCACUCUGGGAUAAGCCUGGGAAACUGGGUCUAAUACUGGAUAUGACCUUUCUCCUUAUGGGGUUUGGUGGAAAGUUUUUCGGUGUAGGAUGAGCCCGCGGCCUAUCAGCUUGUUGGUGGGGUGAUGGCCUACCAAGGCGACGACGGGUAGCCGGCCUGAGAGGGUGAUCGGCCACAUUGGGACUGAGAUACGGCCCAG